AGCGAACGCUGGCGGCAGGCUUAACACAUGCAAGUCGAGCGGGCAUCCUUGUGGUGUCAGCGGCAGACGGGUGAGUAACGCGUGGGAACGUGCCCUUCGGUUCGGAAUAACUCAGGGAAACUUGAGCUAAUACCGGAUACGUGCGAGAGCAGAAAGGUUUAUCUGCCGAAGGAUCGGCCCGCGUCUGAUUAGCUAGUUGGUGAGGUUAUGGCUCACCAAGGCGACGAUCAGUAGCUGGUCUGAGAGGAUGAUCAGCCACACUGGGACUGAGACACGGCCCAGACUCCUACGGGAGGCAGCAGUGGGGAAUAUGGGACAAGGGGGGCAACCCUGAUCCAGCCAUGCCGCGUGAGUGAUGACGGCGUUAGGGUUGUAAAGCUCUUUUCUCCGGGACGAUAAGGACGGUACCGGAGGAAUAAGCCCCGGCUAACUUCGU
Molecule: ribosomal RNA, 436 nt
Filed under: uncultured bacterium
Lineage: Bacteria
Description: partial 16S ribosomal RNA
Rfam family: Bacterial small subunit ribosomal RNA
Source: RNAcentral